GAAGGUUGGGUAACACUAACUGGAGGACCGAACCGACUAAUGUUGAAAAAUUAGCGGAUGACCUGUGGCUGGGGGUGAAAGGCCAAUCAAACCGGGAGAUAGCUGGUUCUCCCCGAAAGCUAUUUAGGUAGCGCCUCGUGAAUUCAUCUCCGGGGGUAGAGCACUGUUUCGGCUAGGGGGCCAUCCCGGCUUACCAACCCGAUGCAAACUGCGAAUACCGGAGAAUGUUAUCACGGGAGACACACGGCGGGUGCUAACGUCCGUCGUGAAGAGGGAAACAACCCAGACCGCCAGCUAAGGUCCCAAAGUCAUGGUUAAGUGGGAAACGAUGUGGGAAGGCCCAGACAGCCAGGAUGUUGGCUUAGAAGCAGCCAUCAUUUAAAGAAAGCGUAAUAGCUCACUGGUCGAGUCGGCCUGCGCGGAAGAUGUAACGGGGCUAAACCAUGCACCGAAGCUGCGGCAGCGACACUGUGUGUUGUUGGGUAGGGGAGCGUUCUGUAAGCCUGUGAAGGUGUGUCGUGAGGCAUGCUGGAGGUAUCAGAAGUGCGAAUGCUGACAUAAGUAACGAUAAAGCGGGUGAAAAGCCCGCUCGCCGGAAGACCAAGGGUUCCUGUCCAACGUUAAUCGGGGCAGGGUGAGUCGACCCCUAAGGCGAGGCCGAAAGGCGUAGUCGAUGGGAAACGGGUUAAUAUUCCCGUACUUGGUGUUACUGCGAAGGGGGGACGGAGAAGGCUAUGUUGGCCGGGCGACGGUUGUCCCGGUUUAAGCGUGUAGGUGUGUGUUCCAGGUAAAUCCGGUUCACUUUAACACUGAGGCGUGACGACGAGGCACUACGGUGCUGAAGCAACAAAUGCCCUGCUUCCAGGAAAAGCCUCUAAGCAUCAGGUAACAUCAAAUCGUACCCCAAACCGACACAGGUGGUCAGGUAGAGAAUACCAAGGCGCUUGAGAGAACUCGGGUGAAGGAACUAGGCAAAAUGGUGCCGUAACUUCGGGAGAAGGCACGCUGACACGUAGGUGAAGUGAUUUACUCAUGGAGCUGAAGUCAGUCGAAGAUACCAGCUGGCUGCAACUGUUUAUUAAAAACACAGCACUGUGCAAACACGAAAGUGGACGUAUACGGUGUGACGCCUGCCCGGUGCCGGAAGGUUAAUUGAUGGGGUCAGCGCAAGCGAAGCUCCUGAUCGAAGCCCCGGUAAACGGCGGCCGUAACUAUAACGGUCCUAAGGUAGCGAAAUUCCUUGUCGGGUAAGUUCCGACCUGCACGAAUGGCGUAAUGAUGGCCAGGCUGUCUCCACCCGAGACUCAGUGAAAUUGAACUCGCUGUGAAGAUGCAGUGUACCCGCGGCAAGACGGAAAGACCCCGUGAACCUUUACUAUAGCUUGACACUGAACAUUGAGCCUUGAUGUGUAGGAUAGGUGGGAGGCUUUGAAGUGUGGACGCCAGUCUGCAUGGAGCCGACCUUGAAAUACCACCCUUUAAUGUUUGAUGUUCUAACGUGGACCCGUUACCCGGGUUGCGGACAGUGUCUGGUGGGUAGUUUGACUGGGGCGGUCUCCUCCUAAAGAGUAACGGAGGAGCACGAAGGUUGGCUAAUCCUGGUCGGACAUCAGGAGGUUAGUGCAAUGGCAUAAGCCAGCUUGACUGCGAGCGUGACGGCGCGAGCAGGUGCGAAAGCAGGUCAUAGUGAUCCGGUGGUUCUGAAUGGAAGGGCCAUCGCUCAACGGAUAAAAGGUACUCCGGGGAUAACAGGCUGAUACCGCCCAAGAGUUCAUAUCGACGGCGGUGUUUGGCACCUCGAUGUCGGCUCAUCACAUCCUGGGGCUGAAGUAGGUCCCAAGGGUAUGGCUGUUCGCCAUUUAAAGUGGUACGCGAGCUGGGUUUAGAACGUCGUGAGACAGUUCGGUCCCUAUCUGCCGUGGGCGCUGGAGAACUGAGGGGGGCUGCUCCUAGUACGAGAGGACCGGAGUGGACGCAUCACUGGUGUUCGGGUUGUCAUGCCAAUGGCACUGCCCGGUAGCUAAAUGCGGAAGAGAUAAGUGCUGAAAGCAUCUAAGCACGAAACUUGCCCCGAG
RNAcentral lists this ribosomal RNA (2075 nucleotides) under Salmonella enterica subsp. enterica serovar Enteritidis. Its description in RNAcentral is "partial 23S ribosomal RNA". It matches the Rfam family "Bacterial large subunit ribosomal RNA", at positions 747 to 2803 of the family's 2925-position model. Lineage: Bacteria; Pseudomonadati; Pseudomonadota; Gammaproteobacteria; Enterobacterales; Enterobacteriaceae. The record is from RNAcentral.